UACGGAGGGUGCAAGCGUUACUGGGAAUCACUGGGCGUAAAGCGCGCGCAGGCGGGCUGAUAAGUUGGAUGUGAAAGCCUACGGCUCAACCGUAGAACUGCAUCCAAAACUGUCAGUCUAGAGUCUGGGAGGGGAAGAUGGAAUUAGUUGUGUAGGGGUAAAAUCCGUAGAGAUAACUAGGAAUACCAAAAGCGAAGGCGAUCUUCUGGAACAGUACUGACGCUGAGGCGCGAAAGCGUGGGGAGCAAACAGGAUUAGAAACCCUAGUAGUCC
RNAcentral lists this ribosomal RNA (273 nucleotides) under uncultured bacterium. RNAcentral describes it as "partial 16S ribosomal RNA". It matches the Rfam family "Bacterial small subunit ribosomal RNA", at positions 524 to 796 of the family's 1533-position model. The record is from RNAcentral.